RNAcentral lists this long non-coding RNA (1025 nucleotides) under Callithrix jacchus (white-tufted-ear marmoset). RNAcentral's name for it is "lncRNA (ENSCJAG00000051486.2)". The record is from RNAcentral. Lineage: Eukaryota; Metazoa; Chordata; Mammalia; Primates; Cebidae.
GGCAGAUUGGUUCUGCCUGCACUUUAUUCCUGAACCUACGUUCAUUCAAAAUGGAUUGCCAUACUUAAAUGCUCUAUCUAGUGCUGCUGCGGCUGCUGCUGCUGACUAAUAAUGCCCCUCCCCCACUCCAGCUCCCACCCCAUCAUACUCGGUGAUCUCUCCUCUCCUCUGCCUCUCUCUCUCUCUCUCUCUCUCUCUCUCUCUCUCUCUCUCUCUGUCUCAGGCACCGGUGGCCCUAUUGUCAACAAAGAAUGCAUAAUGUCAAAGCCAAGUCUGAAUGAGUGGUCCCAUCUGACCCAAGCCACAGUUUCAGAAGCACAGCCUUGGAGGAGUAAGGACGGUGAGGAAACAGAUGCCUAGACAUCCAUAUUGACCAAAACCUGCACUGGCAACCCACGGAGGGCUACAUAUCAAAGACAGGUCUUAUCACAUCUUCAUUGCCAAGGUAUUUCUCUUACAUUCUUAACCUAACCCAGCCUCACACCUUGAACUUCUUCCUCACUCAUGCUCUCACUCUGGGCCUGAGGUUCCUGGACAUUAUUCCUGCCUCCUAAGCAGCCUGUUCCUAAUAUUCCUGGCUUAUCAGUCUUCACUUCCUUUUUUUUUUUGUCCAGGUUCUGUGUUUCUGGUAGGUUCUCCUCCACAUGGACCACAGUUGUCCAGCAUUUGCAUUAUAUGUCUCACGUACCAUCAUCACCAUUUAGUGCACAGAAAUCAUUUUCAACAUGGAACAGCUCUGCAUAUAAAAUGAAUUUCAAGCGGCAAAGAGACAGGGUGGAAAAAUUGAUCUCUAUACACACACAUAAUUUGUUUGAAGUCUUAUGGGGAACUGUAGUUUAUGCAAACUUUUGGUCAUUUUAAAUUUAUGCAAUGAAAUACAACCUGCUUAGUAGAAUUAGUUGUUUGGAUAAAGCUCUGGUAAGUCGUGAAAAUAAUCACACUGAUUCAAUGGAGACAGAGAUAAAGACCAUGAACAAAUUCUGCUUUUUCAAUGAUACUUACCCAUGAGAAGUAAAAUAAAAUAG